CCUACGGGAGGCAGCAGUGGGGAAUAUUGGACAAUGGGGGGAACCCUGAUCCAGCCAUGCCGCGUGUGUGAAGAAGGCCCUCGGGUUGUAAAGCACUUUCAGUGAGGAAGAACGCCUGGUGGUUAAUACCCAUCAGGAAAGACAUCACUCACAGAAGAAGCACCGGCUAACUCCGUGCCAGCAGCCGCGGUAAUACGGAGGGUGCGAGCGUUAAUCGGAAUUACUGGGCGUAAAGCGCGCGUAGGUGGCUUGAUAAGCCGGUUGUGAAAGCCCCGGGCUCAACCUGGGAACGGCAUCCGGAACUGUCAAGCUAGAGUUCAGGAGAGGAAGGUAGAAUUCCCGGUGUAGCGGUGAAAUGCGUAGAGAUCGGGAGGAAUACCAGUGGCGAAGGCGGCCUUCUGGACUGACACUGACACUGAGGUGCGAAAGCGUGGGUAGCAAACAGGAUUAGAUACCCCAGUAGUC
RNAcentral lists this ribosomal RNA (465 nucleotides) under Vreelandella stevensii. RNAcentral describes it as "partial 16S ribosomal RNA". It matches the Rfam family "Bacterial small subunit ribosomal RNA", at positions 338 to 795 of the family's 1533-position model. The record is from RNAcentral. Lineage: Bacteria; Pseudomonadati; Pseudomonadota; Gammaproteobacteria; Oceanospirillales; Halomonadaceae.